CCUACGGGAGGCAGCAGUCGAGAAUUAUUCACAAUGGGGGAAACCCUGAUGGUGCGACGCCGCGUGGGGGAAUGAAGGUCUUCGGAUUGUAAACCCCUGUUAUGUGGGAGCAAAUUAAAAAGAUAGUACCCCAAGAGGAAGAGACGGCUAACUCUGUGCCAGCAGCCGCGGUAAUACAGAGGUCUCAAGCGUUGUUCGGAACCACUGGGCGUAAAGCGUGCGGAGGCUGUGUCGUAAGUCGUGUGUGAAAGGCGCGGGCUCAACCCGCGGACGGCACAUGAUACUGCGAGACUAGAGUAAUGGAGGGGGAACCGGAAUUCUCGGUGUAGCAGUGAAAUGCGUAGAUAUCGAGAGGAACACUCGUGGCGAAGGCGGGUUCCUGGACAUUAACUGACGCUGAGGCACGAAGGCCAGGGGAGCGAAAGGGAUUAGAUACCCUGGUAGUC
This 446-nucleotide ribosomal RNA is filed under the name uncultured bacterium. RNAcentral describes it as "partial 16S ribosomal RNA". It matches the Rfam family "Bacterial small subunit ribosomal RNA", at positions 338 to 795 of the family's 1533-position model. The record is from RNAcentral.